Molecule: unclassified non-coding RNA, 253 nt
Filed under: uncultured Rhodobacterales bacterium
Lineage: Bacteria; Pseudomonadati; Pseudomonadota; Alphaproteobacteria; Rhodobacterales
Description: contains 16S-23S intergenic spacer region
Rfam family: Bacterial small subunit ribosomal RNA
Source: RNAcentral
UACGGAGGGGGCUAGCGUUGUUCGGAAUUACUGGGCGUAAAGCGCACGUAGGCGGACCAGUCAGUCAGAGGUGAAAUCCCGGGGCUCAACCCUGGAACUGCCUUUGAUACUGGUAGUCUAGAGUCCGGGAGAGGUGAGUGGAAUUCCGAGUGUAGAGGUGAAAUUCGUAGAUAUUCGGAGGAACACCAGUGGCGAAGGCGGCUCACUGGUCCAGAACUGACGCUGAGGUGCGAAAGCGUGGGGAGCAAACAGG